CCCCCCAUGGGGGCCCUGGCCCUGCCCGGGGGGGUGGGCGAGGGGGACCCCUGGCUCCCUGAAGCCCCCGCUCUCCUACUUUUGGGGCGCCUGGCAGCUGCCGACGAGCCCAGCCGAGCCCUGGCCACUGCCCCUGUCAUUUCGGGGCUCCUCCGCUACCUGACAGGGGUCUCUGCCCCGGCCCCCCGGGCUGCCCGGGUGUUGCAGCGCCUGACAGGACACCCUGCUUUUUUGGGGGCGCUGGUCCGGGCUUACAUCCCCUCCCUGCUCCACUCCUGGCUGGUCCUCGGCCUAGCACCGUCCCAGGCCGAGGAGCUGUCACAGCCCGGGGGACUCAGGCAUACGGCUGCCCCCCCGCACCCGCGCCAGGCACGCCUCAAGGAGUUGGGUGAGGGACUCUUGCGCAACCUGGGGGCAGCGGCGGCAGCCCCCUUCGGCGUGGGGCUGCUGACCCACAUGCUGCGCUGCGGGGCCCCCCCGGCCCGCCUGGCCUGUGCCACCGCCCUGCCCCUGCUCACCAGGCCAGCGUCCCCGGCACGGGGGCUGCUGUGGGGAGGGGGGGCGGUGGCCCUGCUGCUCUCGGCAGUGGCCCGGGGCCCCACGUCCCCCUACGAGCCACCCCCAGCCUUCGCACUCUAUGCUGCCGAUGCUAUCGCCCUCCUGCGGGGACAUGCUGGGGACGCGCCGGGGGAUGGCGAGGAUGCGCCAGGACACACCGGCGCCAAGGACCCGCAGGUGCGUGGAGAUGGGGACACCGAGGACCCGUGCGGCCAUGGGGAUGCUGAGGACCGGUGGGGACAGAGGGACAGACGUGGGGAUAGUGGCGACACCCCUGGGGAGAACGGUGACCUGCAGAGACCUCUGGACCGGCACAAGGAACUCAAAGACCCGUGGGGACACGCAGGUGCCUUUGGGGACACCGAGGACACCUGGGGACACGUGGAUGGCCACGCAACCUCUCCAGCAGAUGGACACGGUGACACUGGGGAUGCGCAAGGGCGUGCCGAUGAACGCGGGAACCCGUGGGGACACGCGGACAGGCUGAGGGACGCUGAGGACUUGUGGGGAUCCAGAGGAUCCCUGUGUAUCCUGUCCUCUGUGAUCCUCUACCCUCCGCCCAUGCUGUCCCCUAUAUCCCCAGCAUCUCCAGAGCCAUUUUCCCCGGGGUCCCCCUGUCCCGAAGGGUCCCCGAGAGCUGCUAAACGUCCCCGAGCAUCCUCUUGUCCCCAGCUGUCCCCAGACCCUCCCAACCUUAAUUCCCAAGAGGCCCCAAGACCCCCCAAAUGUCCCCUACUAUCCUCUUCUCCACUGUCCCCGGACAUCCCCAGCCCCUGUUCCCAGGUGUCUCUGAGGUCCUCCGACCCAUGUCCUCAACUGUCCCCGUGUCCCCCAUUGUCCCCAAACCCCUGCAACCCCCAUCCUCAACCAUCCCCGUGUCCCUGGGUGUCCCCAGUGUCCUCCAGCCCAUCUCCUCAACCAUCUCCCUGUCCCCAAGCCUCCCCAAGCUCCAACCCCUGUCCCCAAACCUCCCCAAACUCCUCCAACCCAUCUCCACCACUAUCCCCGAGGUCCCCCAACCCGUGUCCCCGAGCGUCCCCAAGCUUAUCCGACCCACCUCCACCACCAUCCUUAUGCCUCCAGACAUCCCCAGGGUCCUCGAACCCGUGUCCCCAGCCGUCUCCCCAUCCCCAAGCCUCCCCAAGUUCCUCUAACCCCUGUCCCCAAGCUUCUCUGAGUUCCUCAAACCCGUCUCCAGUACCGUCUCCAGGCCCCCAAGCAUCACCACCCCCCCCAGCCACCUGUACCCCUGUGUCCCCAACGUGUCCCUAUUCCCAGACCCCCCAUGACCUCCUCCUCCUACCCAACGGUACCCACCCAGGGGUGCCGGUGGCCCGGGCAGCCCUGACCCAGGGGUCCCCUGUCUUGGGAGCCAUGUUGGGGGGGGCCUUUGCCGAGGCUCACCAGUCAGCGGUGGCCUUAGGCUGUGCCCCCCGCCACCCUCUCCUUCUCCUCCUCCAUUUUGUCCAUGGCUGCCGGGGCAGCCCCAGGAACGGGUGUCCCCUCCUGUGUUCCCCUGUGUCCACUGGCACUGCUGUCGCUGCCGUCGCCUUGGCCCACCGUUACCUGGUGGACGGCUUUGAGGAUGUGAUGGCCACUGCCGUCACUGCAUCCCCCAGUGCGCUCUGGGUCUUGGCCGAGCGGUGGGGUUGCGCCCUGUUGGCCACUCGGGCCGCCCAGGCUAUUUUGGAGGGGCCACCCCACAACGUGGCCCCCCGCUUGGUUCGGGUAGCCCAGCUGGCUCGAUGUCCCCCUCGCCUGGCCCGGGCCUUGAUGACUGCUGUGGCACCCCAGGGGGCCCAACCCCACCUUGAUAUGGGAGAGCCAAGGGGUUGGGAUGACCCCCUGCUGCGACCCCCUAGAGGCACUGAUGGGGACCUCAGAGAUGUCCAGGAGGACCUUGGAGACCUGGAGGGUGACUUUGGGGUCCCUUAUGAGGACCUUGGGGACACCGAUGGAGACCUCAGCAACAUGGUGGACCCCUUUAGGGACCCCUCUAGUGAUCUCGGGGACUCCUUAGGUGAAGAUAAUGUGGACAUGGAGGUCAAGGGGCCUCUCUAAGACCUCGGGGACCCCCAGCAGGACCUUGGGGACCACUGCAUGGUUAUUUGGGGACCUUGGGGACCACUGCAUGGAUGUUGGGGACCCCUUAGGUGAAGACAUGGAGGACAUGGAGGUCAGGCAGGGGACCUUUCUGAAACUUUGGGGACACCC
This is an RNA transcript of Athene cunicularia (burrowing owl), 2772 nucleotides long. It is a transcript of the gene named PGC-1 and ERR-induced regulator in muscle protein 1-like, with no coding region annotated. The record is from RefSeq and is a predicted model, not a curated record. The transcript is spliced from 6 exons. NCBI's taxonomy places the organism in Eukaryota, Metazoa, Chordata, Aves, Strigiformes, Strigidae.